CCAAUAGCGUAUAUUUAAGUUGUUGCAGUUAAAAAGCUCGUAGUUGAAUUUCGGGAUUGACACAUCGGUCGUGCCUUAAGGGGUAUGAACUGGUGUAGUCAAUUUCUCACCUUCUGGAGAACCGCGAUGCCCUUAAUUGGGUGCCACGGGGAACCAGGACCUUUACUUUGAAAAAAUUAGAGUGUUUAAAGCAGGCAUUUUGCUUGAAUACAUUAGCAUGGAAUAAUAAAAUAGGACGGCAUGAUUCUAUUUUGUUGGUUUGUAGGAUCACCGUAAUGAUUAAUAGGGAUAGUUGGGGGCAUUAGUAUUCAAUUGUCAGAGGUGAAAUUCUUGGAUUUAUUGAAGACUAACUACUGCGAAAGCAUUUGCCAAGGAUGUUUUCAUUAAUCAAGAACGAAAGUUAGGGGAUCGAAGACGAUCAGAUACCGUCGUAGUCUUAACCAUAAACUAUGCCGACUAGGAAUCAGACGAUGUUAAUUUUUUAAUGACUCGUUUGGCACCUUACG
This 506-nucleotide unclassified non-coding RNA is filed under the name uncultured Entrophospora. RNAcentral describes it as "SSU rRNA". It matches the Rfam family "Eukaryotic small subunit ribosomal RNA", at positions 591 to 1092 of the family's 1831-position model. The record is from RNAcentral. Lineage: Eukaryota; Fungi; Glomeromycota; Glomeromycetes; Entrophosporales; Entrophosporaceae.